RNAcentral lists this ribosomal RNA (1371 nucleotides) under uncultured bacterium. Its description in RNAcentral is "bacterial SSU rRNA". It matches the Rfam family "Bacterial small subunit ribosomal RNA", at positions 28 to 1381 of the family's 1533-position model. The record is from RNAcentral.
GAUGAACGCUGGCGGCGUGCCUAAUACAUGCAAGUCGAGCGAACGGACGAGAAGCUUGCUUCUCUGAUGUUAGCGGCGGACGGGUGAGUAACACGUGGAUAACCUACCUAUAAGACUGGGAUAACUUCGGGAAACCGGAGCUAAUACCGGAUAAUAUUUUGAACCGCAUGGUUCAAAAGUGAAAGACGGUCUUGCUGUCACUUAUAGAUGGAUCCGCGCUGCAUUAGCUAGUUGGUAAGGUAACGGCUUACCAAGGCAACGAUGCAUAGCCGACCUGAGAGGGUGAUCGGCCACACUGGAACUGAGACACGGUCCAGACUCCUACGGGAGGCAGCAGUAGGGAAUCUUCCGCAAUGGGCGAAAGCCUGACGGAGCAACGCCGCGUGAGUGAUGAAGGUCUUCGGAUCGUUAAACUCUGUUAUUAGGGAAGAACAUAUGUGUAAGUAACUGUGCACAUCUUGACGGUACCUAAUCAGAAAGCCACGGCUAACUACGUGCCAGCAGCCGCGGUAAUACGUAGGUGGCAAGCGUUAUCCGGAAUUAUUGGGCGUAAAGCGCGCGUAGCGGUUUUUUAAGUCUGAUGUGAAAGCCCACGGCUCAACCGUGGAGGGUCAUUGGAAACUGGAAAACUUGAGUGCAGAAGAGGAAAGUGGAAUUCCAUGUGUAGCGGUGAAAUGCGCAGAGAUAUGGAGGAACACCAGUGGCGAAGGCGACUUUCUGGUCUGUAACUGACGCUGAUGUGCGAAAGCGUGGGGAUCAAACAGGAUUAGAUACCCUGGUAGUCCACGCCGUAAACGAUGAGUGCUAAGUGUUAGGGGGUUUCCGCCCCUUAGUGCUGCAGCUAACGCAUUAAGCACUCCGCCUGGGGAGUACGACCGCAAGGUUGAAACUCAAAGGAAUUGACGGGGACCCGCACAAGCGGUGGAGCAUGUGGUUUAAUUCGAAGCAACGCGAAGAACCUUACCAAAUCUUGACAUCCUUUGACAACUCUAGAGAUAGAGCUUUCCCCUUCGGGGGACAAAGUGACAGGUGGUGCAUGGUUGUCGUCAGCUCGUGUCGUGAGAUGUUGGGUUAAGUCCCGCAACGAGCGCAACCCUUAAGCUUAGUUGCCAUCAUUAAGUUGGGCACUCUAAGUUGACUGCCGGUGACAAACCGGAGGAAGGUGGGGAUGACGUCAAAUCAUCAUGCCCCUUAUGAUUUGGGCUACACACGUGCUACAAUGGACAAUACAAAGGGCAGCGAAACCGUGAGGUCAAGCAAAUCCCAUAAAGUUGUUCUCAGUUCGGAUUGUAGUCUGCAACUCGACUACAUGAAGCUGGAAUCGCUAGUAAUCGUAGAUCAGCAUGCUACGGUGAAUACGUUCCCGGGUCU